GGUACGGUGACUGAGUAGUUAAAGUGUUAGUUUCGAAAACUAAUGGGAAUUAUCCCGCAUAGGUGCAAAUCCUAUCCGUAUCA
Non-coding RNA from Alosa alosa (allis shad), 83 nucleotides. NCBI's taxonomy places the organism in Eukaryota, Metazoa, Chordata, Actinopteri, Clupeiformes, Clupeidae. The record is from the annotation of a RefSeq genome assembly.